RNAcentral lists this ribosomal RNA (503 nucleotides) under uncultured bacterium. Its description in RNAcentral is "bacterial SSU rRNA". It matches the Rfam family "Bacterial small subunit ribosomal RNA", at positions 791 to 1285 of the family's 1533-position model. The record is from RNAcentral.
UAGUCCACGCCGUAAACGAUGAGUACUAGGUGCUGCGGGCAUUAGACCCUUGCAGUGCCGUAGCUAACGCGUUAAGUACUCCGCCUGGGAAGUACGGCCGCAAGGCUAAAACUCAAAGGAAUUGACGGGGGCCCGCUACAAGCGGUGGAGCAUGUGGUUUAAUUCGACACAACGCGCAGAACCUUACCUGGGCUGGAAAACGUUGGAAUACUCCAGAAACGGAGUAGUGCCCGCAAGGGAACCGACGUGCAGGUGCUGCAUGGCUGUCGUCAGCUCGUAGUCGUGAGAUGUUGGGUUAAGUCCCGCAACGAGCGCAACCCCGUAUCGUUAGUUGCUAGCAGUUCGGCUGAGCAACUCUAGCGAGACUGCCGGCGUCAAGCCGGAGGAAGGUGGGGAUGACGUCAAGUCCUCAUAGGCCCUUAUGUCCAGGGCUACACACGUGCUACAAUGAUCGGUACAGAGCGCUGCGAACUCGUGAGAGUAAGCCAAUCGCAAAAAGCCGA